AUGGCCACCGGGUCCUUGUCAUCGGCGUCGUUCAAGUCGCCGAGAUCGUUCGACGCGCACAGGUCGUUCAUGAAGUCCAGGGUCGCCGACGACGACUGCCCGGCCAUGGUCCCUGACCUGGACCUGGACCUCGACGGCGAGGCCGCGCGUGGUCAUGGCAAGAAGAAGGGCGGCUUCAGGUCGCCGUUCGUGAGGAUCGUGAGCAAGCAGAUGGUGGGCGUGUUCCUGACCAUCUGGGUGCGGCGCGGCCUGCGGAGGUGCGUCCAGAACAUCAAGGUGUCCACCGUGGGCGUGGGCGCCAUGGGCUACAUCGGCAACAAGGGGUCGGUGUCGGCGAGCAUGUCCAUCUACCAGACCAUGUUCUGCUUCGUCUGCACCCACCUGUCCGCCGGCGAGCGGCCCGGCAACCUCCUCAAGCGGAACACCGACGUGCAGGAGAUCCACCGGCGGACGCGCUUCGCCGGCCCCGGCGGCCUCGAGCUGCCCCGAGACAUCUACGACCACGAGAGGAUUUUCUGGCUGGGCGAUCUGAACUACCGGAUCGACGUGCCGUACGACAGAACCCACGGCCUGAUCGCCGCCAUGGACUGGCCUCAGCUAGCCGAGAAAGAUCAGCUGAAGCGGGAGCUGAGGAAGGGGCGGGCGUUCGAGGGUUGGAGCGAGGGGGUGCUGGAGUUCGCGCCGACGUACAAGUACGAGAUCGGGACGGGCAAGUACAUCGGCGACGACCAGAAAGGGGGGAGGAGGACGCCGGCGUGGUGCGACCGGGUGCUGUCGUUCGGGAAGGGCCGACUGCUGGGCUACGGGAGGUCGGAGCUGACGCUGUCGGACCACAAGCCGGUGACGGCGACGUACACGGCGGAGGUGGAGGUGUUCUGCGGGCGAAAGCUGCAGAGGGCGCUCACGCUCACGACGAGCUGGAUCCUUCACUCCAAGAAACCAUGGCCGCGAGCUGGAAGGCGGCGUCGAGAUGGACGGCGGCGGCGAUCUGGAGCAGACGAGCUGAAGAAGAAGAAGCAGAUAGGAGAGUGGAGAGGAGAGAGCCGACAGGAUAGGAUAUUCCAAAGGAAUAUACCCACAAGUUAA
This 1086-nucleotide ribosomal RNA is filed under the name Triticum aestivum (bread wheat). RNAcentral describes it as "partial small subunit ribosomal RNA". The record is from RNAcentral. Lineage: Eukaryota; Viridiplantae; Streptophyta; Magnoliopsida; Poales; Poaceae.